RNAcentral lists this ribosomal RNA (253 nucleotides) under uncultured bacterium. Its description in RNAcentral is "partial 16S ribosomal RNA". It matches the Rfam family "Bacterial small subunit ribosomal RNA", at positions 524 to 776 of the family's 1533-position model. The record is from RNAcentral.
UACAGAGGGUGCAAGCGUUGUUCGGAAUUACUGGGCGUAAAGCGUGCGUAGUCGGUAUUGUGAGUCACGGGUGAAAUCCCAAGGCUUAACCUUGGAACUGCCUGUGAGACCUCAGUACUAGAGUGUGAGAGGGGAUAGUGGAAUGCCAAGUGUAGCGGUGAAAUGCGUAGAGAUUUGGCGGAACACCGGUGGCGAAGGCGGCUAUCUGGCUCACAACUGACGCUCAGGCACGAAAGCGUGGGGGGCAAACAGG